RNAcentral lists this ribosomal RNA (35 nucleotides) under fungal sp. 3.21.3E. Its description in RNAcentral is "partial 28S ribosomal RNA". The record is from RNAcentral. Lineage: Eukaryota; Fungi.
GUUGACCUCGGAUCAGGUAGGGAUCAUCCCGCUGA